GAGGAAACACUUUUAUUGCCUUAUUAUCUCUUAACUAUUUUCCGUAUUCGCCACGAGGUACAGACGCUAAACUGCAAACACAGGAAGAGGCCCCGUGAGACCCAGCCCAACACGCCCCAGCCAGCAAUCCUGCUCUCACUUUAUUCAUGGAAGGUCUUUUGUGGAAACAAUUUUCCAGUAAGGCCUCAUCAAAGAAGACUCAAGGAAUGAUGCAAACAUUAGCAGGUGCAAACUCCUUCAAGAACAUAAACACAACUUCUGGCAUAAUGUUCUGCAGGCACCAUAUGGUCAGAAGCUCUCCUAAGUGUCACAACACACUUAUGAGGAUCUUAAUUUACAAAUGAGGAAUUCACAACUGCCAAACCCAGUCACGGUCUUGCCUUUACUCCUCUCAAAGAUGAGGCAUCCUGGGGCAGAUGGACAUGACAGCACGGCUAUUCCAG
This 443-nucleotide long non-coding RNA is filed under the name Equus asinus (donkey). RNAcentral's name for it is "lncRNA (ENSEASG00005026866.1)". The record is from RNAcentral. Lineage: Eukaryota; Metazoa; Chordata; Mammalia; Perissodactyla; Equidae.